Molecule: unclassified non-coding RNA, 249 nt
Filed under: Hevea brasiliensis (rubber tree)
Lineage: Eukaryota; Viridiplantae; Streptophyta; Magnoliopsida; Malpighiales; Euphorbiaceae
Source: RNAcentral
GUUUCCUCGAAGUUGGAGAAUUAGGAUCAGGAGUUAGAGGCAUUUGGUUGUGGGAAGCAGUGGGUGGGGACAUCCAAGGGACAUUCCAAGAGCCUGGUAUUGUACAACCCCAAUAAGUGGUUGCAGGGAAGAAAGACAUAGGAAUGCCGGGAAGGGAGUAACCAGGUGGAGGUACUGCAUUUCUACAGUGCACAGAACUCCAUAUGUAUGGCCAAGGAGCUCCAGUAAAGCAAGGUAAAUGAGUUGGAA